This 67-nucleotide transfer RNA is filed under the name Empoascanara alami. RNAcentral's name for it is "tRNA-Ser". RNAcentral also lists the same sequence under 1 other name. The record is from RNAcentral. Lineage: Eukaryota; Metazoa; Arthropoda; Insecta; Hemiptera; Cicadellidae.
UAAAGGUUAAGUCAAAGAAAUAGCUGCUAACUAAUUUCUAAAGCGGUUAAAUUCCGUUUACCUUUUA